Molecule: ribosomal RNA, 271 nt
Filed under: uncultured bacterium
Lineage: Bacteria
Description: partial 16S ribosomal RNA
Rfam family: Bacterial small subunit ribosomal RNA
Source: RNAcentral
GUCCACGCCCUAAACGGUGCUCACUUGGUGUGGGAGGAUUCGACCCCUUCCGUGCCGUAGCUAACGCGUUAAGUGAGCCGCCUGGGGAGUACGGCCGCAAGGUUAAAACUCAAAGAAAUUGACGGGGCCCGCACAAGCGGUGGAGUAUGUGGCUCAAUUCGAUGCAACGCGAAGAACCUUACCUGGGUUUGACAUGCACCAUGAAAGCCGAUGAAAGUCGGUGACGGCCCGAAAGGGUGCUGGGGGUGCACAGGUGCUGCAUGGCUGUCGU